Chrysemys picta bellii (western painted turtle) is the source of this 4430-nucleotide non-coding RNA. Lineage: Eukaryota; Metazoa; Chordata; Testudines; Emydidae. The record is from RefSeq and is a predicted model, not a curated record.
GUGCGGCCAGGCGGUUCUUUGCGCUUCCCCCAUUCCUGGACAAUGGGCACUGCAGCACUGGUGCUUGGGGUGGGAGCAGCAUGUGGAGCCCCUAUGGCCGCACCUCUGCCUAGGAACUGGAGGGAAAUGCCGGUCGCUUCCAGGAGCUGCACAGAGCCAGGACAGGCAGGGAGCCUGCCUUAGCCUGGCUGCGCCACCAACUGGACUUUUAAUGGCCCAGUCAGCGAGGGUCAGACCCUCAGAACUUGGCUGAACAGUGUCUGUGUAAGAUAGUCAUGCUGCUGUGACUAAACGGAAACUCGGGCCCUAUAGGGUGUAGAUAGCAGUAGUAGCUUCUACCAGGCAAGCUGGAGAGAAGCAUAGGGUUGGCUUUUUAGCAAUGGAAGCUGUGUGAUGUCUUUUGUUACCUGGAAGCCUCUUACACAAAUAUAAAAUGGAAUGGUAAGGAUUAAGUAUGCUUUUAAAUCAUCAAAUAGCACUUAGUGAAUGUGCACUAACUACCUAAGAAUUAAUAACUGAGGGCCAAAUAUUCAAACAGUGAAGCUGACUUGUGCCUGCAUAAGGUACAUAGGAACACGUACAUUCACAUGCAGGUGAAAUUAUCCAUUUGAAUAAGCAAUUCCAACUUAACACACAAAUAAUGAUUUUGCAUGUGCAAAUGCCAGUGUAUACAACGAAGAAGUGCAUGUGGCAGUACUUGCACAUGCAAACUCCACAUUUUUGUGUUCAGUUGAAUACUUGUACCCACAUUUGUGUGUGUGUGUGUUUGUACACACCUGCAAACACAAGUCAGCCACUAUGGUUUGAAUAUUUUGGAAAAUGGACACAAAUCAGAAAAUGUGUUAAGAACUAGGCAUUUAGGGUGAAUUUAGCAAAAAGGUAAUUUAUGAUGUUUCUGAAUGUUCUAAUUUCUGUACAUUGUCCAGUGCAAAACAUCAGUUCAGCCAGUGGUUACAGCUCUGUAGAUUAGCAUCCUGCUCACAAGCUCCAAUCUGGCUAUACAGAGAAAAGGUAAGUCAAAAACCCAGUGAAAAUAACAAAAAGCAGAAGAAGUUGUUAAUGCAAGUACAGGUCUGAGAAACAACAAAAUUGAAAUUAACCAGGCAAAUUCCAAUUUCUGGAUUCAAACAAAAUGAAUAAAAAGAAGCAAAAACAAAAUGCAAGUGUGUAAAAGUAAUUAUCAGAGUUGUCUAAUGACGUAAUAUUACUCAAGAGUGCUGUGUGCAUUUGCAUUUAGUAUAUGAACAUUUGGCUUGUCAGUGAUUCCUACUUACUUGUUGGAAUGUGACGUUCUAACAAUAUUCUCUUUUUUGGGAGAUUUUUCUACAAAGCCUAUGCUCCCUUCAGGAUUCUGAUAAUUUAUUUCAUUAUAAACUGUUGAUGAUGGAAUGUCUUGCUGAUUUAGCCCUUUAUUUGGCAAGCAGCCUGCCCUGUAUUUCUUUAAUUUAGGAAGGAAGGAAGGAAGGAAAAACACAGGGCUCUCUGAGUCACAUACUACAGAAAGGUCAUUUCUAAAACCUUUUCUGAUUUAACUUCUUCAACCUUUGCCAUUAUACAGCUUCUGUUUUCCUGAUAAUAGAGGACUCUCACUGGUGAGGAGAAAGCAGCUUCUGAAAUACAGGAUCACAUUCUGCUAUGUGCAAUGUGGCAUACUUUGGGGGAACGUUGAAGAGUUCUGUGAUCUGUUACAGAGGGAGCGGGGUAAAGGGAGUUGUGAAUACUGGAAAGGAAUUCAGCCUGUAUCACGAUUCAGUUCCUGAUGCACCAGUUCCAAAGUCUGCUGGCCCCUGGGAGAGGAGAAGAAAUCUCACUCCGCCUUGUUUGUUUAUACAGACCACAGCAUCGAUACAUUAUCUGAAUAUGGAGGUCAAAGGAUGCUGGAGUACGCCAUACCACUCUGGCUGGUUCUAGUAUGGCCUCAUUGAUGGGUAGAGCCACCUUACUCGGUCCUUGCAGCUGCAAGAUGUCUAGGAGCCAGUGUUGAGGAUCCUGGACCUCUGAUGAGAUCUAUAGGACACUGGCCACUCUUUGUAACAGCUCCUGGUACUGGCAAUGAUCGUCCAUAGUAGAACGCGAAGGAGGAGUGCCUGCUUCAUCUGGGGAUGAUGAAGAGGCAUCCAUCUGAACUGUCAGUACCUGCAGAUCUAAUUCCACCUCUUCCGCCUUGUACAUCAACAGACCCAGCUGGCGAGAGGGAGAGGAGUGUGACUCUUGAGAAGGGCCUUGACACCUGCCAUAAGGAUCCCAAGGACCACAAUAAGACCAGAAAGGAGAAUCGAUUGGUGGUGGGGGACCCCAAGGAAAUCAGUACCAGCGGUCCCUGGGGGUGUCGUACCCAGUGGAAUGGCAAGCCUAACCCCUUGACUGUUUAUCAAGGCUCAGCUGCCUCUGCAGAAUUACCGCUGUGGCCAGCUCCUCUGAGAAAGGAGCUCCCUCAGGAGGACCAGGCCAGAAAGAAGCGGAGAAUGCGGAUAAGGGAAGAAUAUAUCCUUCAGUGUUAUGUAAAUCUCAGUAUACCCUGUUGUCUGUCUGAGUGGUUCCUGCAGUUAAGUUUGAUGAAUCUAGUGCAUCUGCAGUGACAGAACUGUCUUUAGAUGGAUGAGGAGGUACCAACAAUCGGUCCAGACCAGCACUCAUAGACAGAAGUGCGGAGCAUCUAUCCUUAUUUUGGUUGUACACCAAAGAGAAGGAGGACACAAUUCUGACUCAGGCCAUGUCACAGUAGGAAAAAACUAGAGAAGGGUUGACCUACACUGGCUCUUAUACCUUCGGUUGGGAGCAUGAGGAGAGCUACUGCGCAUGUGCAGGUCAAUGGACAUUGCUUUGAAGAAUUUCUGGACUUGGGUCCAUGGUACACAUGUGUAACUACAUAUGGAAUACAUAUAGGGAACAUCACUCAAAAAAGAAGAUGUCCAGGAGGUUUGACAGAAGAUACUGUGGUUGAGAAGAGCUGCCUGGUGUGCCAUUGGACUGUUCCUUUGAUCAGCUUGCCGGCACUUAGCACCUGCAAACAAUUGCACUCCAGUCCCAUUGGUUGACACAGGAGGAGGUGAUGGCAAGAAGCCAGGCAAGACCAUGAUUUGAUGAGCUUCCCCCACAGAAAGAUUAAGCUCCUAUCCACCCUCAGUAAAGUUGGUCUCAGGCCCACCCCAAGCCCAUCUUCCAUCAGUCACAGCAGCAGGUGCUCCUGGGUACUCUCUGGAGGCACAGAAUGCAAAGCUAUCAGACUCUUACUCCUGUGCUGAGUUCUUCCAUGGUACCUAGGAAUUACUCCUUUGUUUGAGCCAAUGUAUAAAAAAGGGCAGACUGGUCCAAGGUGACUGGGGUGUCAAUCACAUCCUGGCUGCUGGGGGGAAAUGGCUUGUAAGAUCCCCUUUUUAUAAAUGAGACCAGCAUUGUACUGGAUAGAGUGGCUGUCAGUCAGCAGUUCAGCCAAUAGAAAACAUCCCUUCCAUUCAAACUAUAUUUGAAGCUCCCUCCUUACUGGGCUGCUGGCAGUCAGUAUAGAAGAAAGACUCAAGCUCUAGCCUCCUGCUUGAAGCUGGCAUGGGGCCUCCAGCAGCUGUUACUCCAGUGAGUAAACCCUGUGCCUGGAAUCCUCACUGUCCCCUCACCAAGUUUUUCUCUUAAUCGUCCGUGAGUGCCCUCAUCACACUCCCUCUUCCCAUGUAAGCUUGUCUUCUCUUGGCCAGCAACUCCUCCUUCCCAUCCCAUCUCUGCCUCCUCUCUCCUAGGAGAUCAUUCCUCUGUACUGGGUUUCGUUGUUGCAUUGCCAGCUUUCCUGAAGACAGAAGACUGGGGGAGCUGAACGUGAUGAGGCCCAGCAACAUAUUCUCCCAUCCUGUUUAGAAGACUAUUCCAGGUAAGAGAAGGAGGAGCCUGAUAGAAGGGAGAAAGCCUAGGCAUGGGGAAAUGUAGGGGGCACACUACCAUCUUCAUCCCCUCCCUACUUGGAGCAAUGGAUAAGAGCCAGGGGUCUUUGUUUGGCAUGUACUGGGGUAACUGGUGCACUCUAUAUAGAUAGACACUUGUUUUCCCACAGGGGAUCCUUGAGCAAAGAGUGGAGUGGGAUCCCCUUCUUUCCCUCUCCACUGCUGGGAGGAAACUAGGGGAAGGACUGCUUGGUGCCAGAGGAUCACCUUUUUUCACAAACAGUUCAGAGGAGGGCUGCUAACCUAGGAGAUCUUCUUCCCCAUUAGCCCCUGCCUACUUGGAGAUCAGAAGAAGGAUGACUGUAUUCAGAGGAUAUUAAUCUUUGUAAUAUGUCCAGAUAGAGCUACUAUAAGAUGGGUGCAUUAACUGUUUGGAAAACUGUUGCCAGAGAGUAAGUUAUGAAUAGUUCACAGUCACGCUGGAAGGGCAUAUCAAGUGGGGAUAUACAAAUGCAAAGUACUACAUUUAGGAAGGAACAAUCAGUUGCACACAUACAA